This 763-nucleotide long non-coding RNA is filed under the name Monodelphis domestica (gray short-tailed opossum). RNAcentral describes it as "lncRNA (ENSMODG00000042288.1)". Lineage: Eukaryota; Metazoa; Chordata; Mammalia; Didelphimorphia; Didelphidae. The record is from RNAcentral.
UUCUCCAUGAGGUUUUGAAAGCUUAGAGGAUGAGAUGGAAAACCAAAGUGAGGCUGAUGAAACAAGGAAAACAUCUCAUGUGCUGGAGGACUUUUGUUUGAUCUAUUCAUCUUUCAUCUGUACUGGUGGAGUGCUUGGCAGUUCACAAAUUAUCACCCUAGCAACACUGAUGGUCCAGCUCCCUCAUUUAUAACAGAGAUGUUACUAAGACUGUCAGCACUAUGAAGUGAUCUAGGCAGAAAAGUUCAUCUCAGAAAAACAGCACAUGGCAUCCUUCCAGUACACAGACCAGGGACAAGCCAAGGGAAGCCUGGAGCCUGCAAAAAUGUUGAGUUCAGAAGUCAAAAGGCUUAGACUAAGAAGGUAACAAUCAUUCAACAAUCUGGAUCAGACUACAUGAUCACAAAAUGUUGGGAUGAGCAAUUCCUGAGGUCUUAAAAGAACACAGUGCUUAAUUUCUAGAGAAAGUAGUGACAUGAUCCUAAAUAGUACAUAUCAGAACCAAACAAGGUUUCAUCAUUUUUUUCAAAGGUGUGUUCUAACUACACCCAGACAAAAUCCUAAUUUAGGAAAUAAGGACAAUUUUACAACAUGACUAACAUAACUAAAUAAGUAUUUUGAUAAUACAUAUAUGACCUAUAUCAUAUUACUUGCCAUCCUGGUGAAGGGCAAUAGGGAGAAAACAUCUAUUGUAAAAUGUCAAAAAUUAUUAACUAUUGUAUUUACAUGUGAAAAUGUUAAAUAUAAAAUUUGAAAAGGAAAG